Molecule: long non-coding RNA, 1537 nt
Organism: Cervus elaphus (red deer)
Lineage: Eukaryota; Metazoa; Chordata; Mammalia; Artiodactyla; Cervidae
Exons: 3
Source: RefSeq, a predicted model, not a curated record
GGAAGGCGGAGGCCGUGCAGUGGGCUCCUGGGGCUGGGGGUCGGCUCGGAAUCAGUGCAACACCAAAGUCUACACCCCCGUCCAUUGAGGGCCUUCCCCACCCUCUUCAGAGGUAAACAUCACACGUCCACGGCUAGCUGUAUAUAUCUCCAGAUUUUCUAUUGAGCAAAUGGAGUCUUGGAAGAUACUGCCUGGAUGGUGAAGUCUUUCUCCUGUUUAAGAGCUGGAGCCCGCCUGUGGGAUCUUAGUUCCUUGACCAGGGCUAGAAGCCAACCCCCCUGAAUCGUAAGUAGAGCAUCUUAACCACUGGACCACUGGGGAAGUCCCUGAACUGUUUAAAAAUAUGUUUUCUUUGAACUAUUUUUAAUAUUAACGUUAAGAUGCCCUUUGCCUCUGUCACUUUUAUUCUCUCACAUGUGUAUGGUGGAGUUUCCAGGGGAGAUUCGCUGUUGCAACAGGUGGGAUGCAGAAUCAGAUGUGAGAAUCCAGCUGUCUUCUGUUCACUGGACAUGGAAGAGAUGCAAAAUUGGAAAACAAUGUCUCUCUCUUUUUAUGGAAUAUUUUUGUUUUGGAAAAGGUGGUUAUUUUUCAUUAAAAGUGUUAUUUGUUACCAUGAGUAGAUGGAUUGUGAUUUAAAAACUAACAAAAAAAGUUUUUAAAAUUAGCAGUUUUAUUUAUUUUUUGUUUUAAUUUACAAAUGGUAAAUAUCAGUAGCUAUAACCCAUAUAAACAGAUGUAUGUGUAUAUGUAUAUUUAUUUAUUUAUUUAUUUUUCCCAAUUAUUUUUAUUAGUUCCCUCAAGUAUAUUUUUUAAAGAAUGGAAAGGGGUACUGAGACCAAAAUGUUUGAAAACUGUGGAUGUAGAAGAGUGGUCCAAUCCAGCCCUCUGCCUGUUUUUAUAAAUAAAGUUUUAUUGGAACAUAGGCACACCACAUCUUUACAUAAGGCUGCUUUCCUGGUGCAAUGACAGAGCUGAAGAGUUGAGAGAGAGACCAUCUGGGCUACAAAACUGAAAAUAUUUACUCUUAGAUCCUUUAAGAGAAAGUUUGCUGGACUGAUGUAGAAUAAUGCAUUUAACCUUCAUGAACAGCUCUAUUACUGUUUCCCUUUUACAGAUGGGAAAAUAGAGGGACAGACAGGUUAAGUCAUUUUCCUUAGGUCACACAGUCAGUGAGGCUGGAGCUGAACUAAGCCCCUCAGGGUCAAAUGACUGACUCCAAAGUUGGGGUGUGGUCGAUGUCUUUGGUUAGUGUCCCCCUUAUUGGCCUCUGAUUCCCCUUCAUCUGGUACCCCAUUGUUCCUUGAAGACCAUCUACCUCUCCUUCUCUGCACAUUCUACGUGAUUCUCUGAAGCCCUUCCUUGGGAGAACCAGGAGUUGCAUCUUCAGACCAAAGGCCUUUCAUGUCAACCUGAACAAGAGAUGUGUGUGUGCUCAGUCACUACGUCGUUUCCGACUCUUUUGCGACCCCUUGGAUUAUAGCCCACCAGACUCCUCUGUCUAUGGGAUUUUCUAGGCAAGAAUACUGGUGUGGGUUGC